GUCACACUGGUUCUCAUGCGAUCACCGAAAUUAAGCAACGUCCAGUCUGGCCAGUACCUAGAUGGGUGACCGCUUGUGAAUACCAGAUGUUGUAA
Non-coding RNA from Acanthosepion pharaonis, 95 nucleotides. NCBI's taxonomy places the organism in Eukaryota, Metazoa, Mollusca, Cephalopoda, Sepiida, Sepiidae. The record is from the annotation of a GenBank genome assembly.